GUGAUCACUUCCACAGCACAUAUACUAAAAUUGGAACUAUACAGAGAAGUUUAGCAUGGCCCCUGUGUAAGAAUGAUGAUCAACCUCCGGAAACAUUCCAUAUUAUU
This is a small nuclear RNA of Rattus norvegicus (Norway rat), 107 nucleotides long. The record is from Ensembl. NCBI's taxonomy places the organism in Eukaryota, Metazoa, Chordata, Mammalia, Rodentia, Muridae.